This 253-nucleotide ribosomal RNA is filed under the name uncultured bacterium. Its description in RNAcentral is "partial 16S ribosomal RNA". It matches the Rfam family "Bacterial small subunit ribosomal RNA", at positions 524 to 776 of the family's 1533-position model. The record is from RNAcentral.
UACGUAGGGUGCGAGCGUUAAUCGGAAUUACUGGGCGUACAGUGUGCGCAGGCGGCCGCGCAAGUCGAGUGUGAAAGCCCCGGGCUUAACUUGGGAAUUGCGCUCGAAACUACGUGGCUGGAGUGUGGCAGAGGAAGGUGGAAUUCCAGGUGUAGCGGUGAAAUGCGUAGAGAUCUGGAGGAACACCGAUGGCGAAGGCAGCCUUCUGGGCCAACACUGACGCUCAUGCACGAAAGCGUGGGGAGCAAACAGG